CAACACACCGUCAGCCUGCUCACCUGUGACACCUGUGUCUGAUUACCUGUGAGACAGUCUAAACUCAGGUGUCAGAGAAUACCUGUCUGCACCUGUCAGCUGCUCAGUGCUGCCACCAUGGCUUCCACAGUUACUACACUGUGACGGUUUUAGUGGCAAGACUUUUAAUUUAAUUUGUUUGUUUUCUGGGGUGCCAGCCAGGCUGUCCAGACGCAAAAGUCGUUUUGGUUUGUUAUUUUAAGUCACCACACUUAUUGUCAAAAACCCAACACAAAGGAUGUAAAAGUAUUAAACUAAACCACCUUAUAAAUAAAUAAGAAGAAUGAAACAGAAACUGCCACCCAAGUUCACUUCAAUAAAUCAUUCUUGUAUUAGGUAACAUAAAAAA
Labrus mixtus (cuckoo wrasse) is the source of this 388-nucleotide long non-coding RNA. RefSeq lists it as uncharacterized. The record is from RefSeq and is a predicted model, not a curated record. NCBI's taxonomy places the organism in Eukaryota, Metazoa, Chordata, Actinopteri, Labriformes, Labridae. The transcript is spliced from 2 exons.